UCAGUAGACAGCUUUGCAGGCUGUUCUUGUGUUUGCAGUCCCUGUGUAUAGCCUUCUCAAAAUACAAACGGCAUAUUUUGAGGUCUGGAGGCUAGAAGUCUGAAAUCAAGAAGUCUGCAUGCCCGUACUCCCUCCACAGGCUCUAGGGGAGGAUCCUUCCUUGCUUCUUCCAGCGUCUGGUGGCUCCAGGUUGAAGACCUGAAAACUGUGACCCCUGUUGCCUAGCAACUGAGAAGCUCAGCCUCAACUCCGGGUGGGGGAGAUGAUGGAGAAAGGACAAUUGCUCUGAGCUUUCAGUCACCAUGUGAGAAGUCUGGCUACCCUGAGGCCAGCACAUGCAGAGACCACAUGGAGAGAUGAGAGGCAGAGAGAGCCGCCCAAGGAACUCCAGCUGUUCCAGCACCCAGCUGUUUGAAUCCUCCCAGCCCAGGCACUAAACGUGAAUGAAAAGCUCUCAAGACAACCUCAGCCCUCGGACCCAGCCACAGACUGAUUGCCACUGUAUGAGAGACCUCAGAUGAAAACUGUCAAGUGGAGCCCGGCUAGCUAACAGAUUUAUAAGCAAAAUAAGUGAUUGUUAUUGUUUCAAGCCACCAUUUUGAAGUGGCUUUUCUGCAGCAAUAGAUGCCUGGAGGAGUCCUAAUAAUAAAAAUUAAUCAGAUGGAGGAUCUGCUUUUUUAUUUUCUCUUAGGACUAAGGAAAGGCUUGGUAUAAUCUUUGAACUGAGAUAAAGAAUAAGUUACUCUUAAAAUUUUCCAACAAAUGGAGUCCUUAUUGUCUGUAGUUAGUACCCAAAGCUUAGACACUUUCUCUCUACAUACCCUUCCAAGGAUAAGGCUGUAUUUUGUAAUGCCAGAUGACACAAUCUGAUAAACAAGCAGACACCCAU
This 889-nucleotide long non-coding RNA is filed under the name Homo sapiens (human). RNAcentral describes it as "HSALNT0332231". Lineage: Eukaryota; Metazoa; Chordata; Mammalia; Primates; Hominidae. The record is from RNAcentral.